UUAAAGUCCAUAUCAGCAAAAAAAAGAAGCCAUGUUGUUGGUGAGAUUCAAUUUUUUCAAUUUUAAAAUUAGGUACAAGUUCCAACAAUAGUUUCCUUUAAUUUUUAAUUAUUGUUUACCCUUUUAAAAAAUUUGUUUUUUUAUUUUUAUUUUUUUGUGAUUUUAAUUAAUUUAAACAAUAGAGAGUUUUUUAAUAUUAAUUGUUAGGUCAGUCUCAUGAAAAAAAAAAAAAAAACCAUGUGGCUGGUGAGAUUCAAUUUUUUAAAAUUUUCUAAAUUUUAUAAUAGUUUCCUUUAAUUUUUAAUUAUAUAUUACUAUUUUAAUUCAUAGAGACAUUUUUAC
RNAcentral lists this long non-coding RNA (342 nucleotides) under Prunus persica (peach). RNAcentral describes it as "long non-coding RNA (PPER_LNC004019)". Lineage: Eukaryota; Viridiplantae; Streptophyta; Magnoliopsida; Rosales; Rosaceae. The record is from RNAcentral.